Molecule: long non-coding RNA, 2686 nt
Organism: Oxyura jamaicensis (ruddy duck)
Lineage: Eukaryota; Metazoa; Chordata; Aves; Anseriformes; Anatidae
Exons: 2
Source: RefSeq, a predicted model, not a curated record
GAGCUCUCUCGGGUGGGCGAGGUCUUGUUCUACCCCCUGAAAAAUCACAGAAAAUAAAGCAACUCUGCUUCUCGGAAGCUCUAUUCAAAAAGAGUCCAGCCAUCAGAGACCAGGAUGAAGGAACUUCAUCGGAUCAACUCUGGUGGAUGUCGGUGUUUGCUUUUGACCCCCAAACCUUCAUAAAUGAAGACUUACACGCCUGGUGCGCAGCGCUGUAACCUUGCUGGUUUUGGUCUCCACCAGUUCCAAAGCAGUUGUUGCUCCUCAUCUUUUGCAAGCUGCAGGUCUGAAGACUUCUCUUAAUUCAAACUGGAACAGUAAAUAAACAAAACUAUUCCCUCUUCCACGGAGAGCAAUGAUAGGUAUGCUGGAAACAGAUAGUUUUAUUUCUUUCAACGUUGUUUCUUUUUUUUUUCCUCUUUCAUCAUCUUCUAACCUGCCAUCAGCUAAGGCAAAAGGAGAGCUCCGAGAAGUGGGAAGCACCCAGACCGCUCUUCGUCAACGUGGUGGGUGGCUGACAGUUUUCAGAUCAGUCUAAACGUAUCCUGGUCCUCAGCCAUCAAACGGUAAUUGGUAAAUAGCCCCGGUAAACAGCGAUUUCGCUUUGAAGUAGGAAAAUAUUUGUCCUGCAGUGAGGCUUUAAUAACAAGGAAAUUUGGGCAGGGUCCAGCUCUCAGAGCGCUGGAUUUCGGCGUUGCGGUGCUUUCAAAACUCAGCUGCCUUCCUGGAGAUGCAUCGUGUUGCAGGGGCUGCAAGCUGUUCGUUUUUAACGUUCAUCGCAAAUAUUUUCAAGCCUACGAGCUUCUGCCGGCGGAGGUCGGUCCGGAAGGAUGGGCAACAAGCUUGUCUGCUGGGCUCCGUCUCACGGAGAGGGAAAAUGAAUGCCUGAAGCUGUUAACUAGAAAUAGAUGCCCUUUUAGAGGCUUUGAGAGCUGCUGCAUCCUCUUUUCGGGGUAUGCUAGAACGCAGGGGCUUCCUUCGCUCAUUUCUUGGAAGGAGCACCGUGCCUCUUCAGAAUUCGCUGCGGCGAAAUCAAAAGCCGAGAGCAAACUUUGUGCAUGGUGGGUCCCAGCCUGGUGGAGGGCUCAGGACUGCAGCUCGUGGGACUGUCACCUCCCGAAGGCAUCUCGGGGCUGGGCACAGGAGAAAAAGCAGCACCCCCAGCUGAGCUCUCACCAGACCUGGUGUGGUGCAGUUCCAAUAUUUCCUCCACGCCAUCCCCCGUGAUUUGAUUGUUAUUCUGGCAUAACAAAAGCACCCAGCCCCAGCUAAUUUGGACGUGCUGAUAUUUUGAACGGAGUGCUUGUGUUUUUAAAUACGUAGCUGCUCCUGUGUCAGAAACAGAAUGAACUUGUAAUAGUGCCUGGCUUUUAGGGAGGGAGCUGUUAACCCUGGUCUACCGGUGUCAUUAUGGAGGGGGAGGACAAAAAAAAUCCAUAUCCACGCUUGUAAAUAAUGUUAUCCAUCUUUCAAGUGCAGGCCUGACCCAACGCUGGAAGGGCUUUUAUGGUUUGUCUGCGGCGGGGUGAAACUCAAAACAGUUGUGGUUUGGGAGCAGCGUUUGCUGAAUAUUAAGAGCACUGUGUGUAAAUAGAGGGAAGGGACCCGACUGGAUUCGUCGGGACCUCGAAUUGAAAACCCUCGUGUGACUCCUAGCGAGUCCCGUCAAGGAUCUCGGAGCAGCCUGUUUAUUUUAGCUAACGAGUGGGUCCAAACAACACGGCUUGCAGCGGACUAAUGCGAGCUGCAAAUGUUUACGGCCCGCCUAGACGAGUGUUUAUUGCUGUUGCGUAACCCGAGCCAACUGGAAAUUGCAUAACAAGGUAAAACAGCAACGCCACGGGGCUGAUGGGUCCCCGUGCAACUUCUGCUGAGGGCAUGAAAAAGUUUUUGUACCAUCAUAGGCUGGCCGAACAAAGAGAAAUCAGGGCUGGCUUCUUUGUGCCAGAGCUGUAUGUGUAGAGCGACACGCGUCAGCUCAGUAACGUGGUAAGAUCAGGGCUUCUCAUUAACAAACAAAAGCAAAUGACUUGCAUUAAGGUGCAUUCAGUCCAUCUGUCACAGGUCUUCAGCCCGACGAGAGGGUGAUGCACCCACAGGAGCUGCGAACCAACCCCACCUCGGUAACAAAGCAGCCCCCGGACGAAACAAUCGCCUUUUACCAGGUUGUUCCUGCACCGCAAACGCCCCGUGAGCAUGCUGAUAGGCAGGUGCCACGAUACUUGUUGGCUUUGCCUGGGGUUCCAGCUCAGCAUUUCUAAUUUUGGCAGCUGGGCUCUCGGUGCGGGCUGUAGGCAGCCAGGAGCAUCCCAGUGAGGCAGGAGCAGUGCUCAUCUUCACUCGGUGCCGCAGCAUCCCUCCUCUCCUCGCCCUUCUCUCAAAGAAAAAGUGGUUAGAAAGUGCUUUUGUCCCAAACCUUCAACGCUUGGCAUCCCUGGGCUCAGCUGGGUGCAACCCUUCUGUGCUAACGUUUUGGGGUAAAAGUCUCUGUUUAGCUUCAUUUAGGGAGAAACCCGCUUCUCGUUUUCAUAAGCGUACCUAAAACAUUUUUUUACAGUUUCAUGAUUAAUUAAAAUAAUGGUUUCCGUGUCCGUGCAGCUUUAAAAUCUACAAACUGUAGGAUAAGGAAAAAAAAGGGGAAAAAAAAGGAAAAAAAGGAAAAACAAAGAAAAGCAAAUCAAAAAAA